GCCUGUUACUGUGCUGUUUUGUAUUGUGUUGUUAUUUGAAUUGACUGAAGAAUGGUAACUGUGAUGCUGGGGACCCUCUGAGAAGGUGGAAAUGAAUUAUCUAAUUAACACUGCAACAAUCCUCAGCCAAAUGUUUCAGCCUUGUCUUUUGAAUUGAUGUGCUUGGUUGUCGCAUCAUUUGAGGAUGGGGGUAUUUAUGGAGUCUGCUCCUCCAGUGAAUUAUUUCAUUGCCCACCGCCAUUCAUGACUGGAUAUAGCAGGACUGUAGAGCCUAGAUCUUAGAUUUGCAGUUUUUAUUCAGUCAUACAGGGUUCAACCACAUCAUUCCGUAUUUCUACGUAAUUUACUUCAUUUGUCUGCUUAUUCACCGUGAAGCCAGGGAUGAGCGUCAGUGCAGGAAGAAGUAUGGUGUGGCUUGGAAUAAGUAUUGCCAGCAGGUCCGCUACCGAAUCUUCCCAUAUAUCUACUGAGCAAGUCUGUUUUACCCACUAGAUUACAUGCCUCUGCACAUUAUUGUCACUUGUGUUUUGAAGAAAAUGCAAGAUGAAUGUUAAUAUAUUCAUCCAAUUGUAAUCAUGAGGCUGGUUGGUUUUAAAAGUAUUUAUACGUUCUUCCGUUAUAACCCUGUCCCUCCCCCUUUUAUAAAAGAAAAACUUGAUUCAUAGUUAGCCACCUAUUUACAGCAGAACAAAGUAUGUAAUCUUCCAGUGGACAGAAUGCCCUGGCAGACUCUUUUAAAAUUUGAAAUAUAUUCCUUAUAGCUCAUUUUUCCUUAAUUUGAAGGAAGGGACAGGAUAGCUUGAGGGACAAAUAUUUUGUGCUGGUGUUACUAUUUAACUUUGGUAAAGACUGUGAACUCUAAACAUGGUUAAUUAUUUAAAGAUUUGGUAUGUCACUCACCACAGAAGGGUUCACUUCUCUCAGGUAUUCAUGAAAUAAGAGCUGAUUGUAUUGAGACCUGCUUUAAGAUGGUCAUAAAAUCAUCGUUCCUCACGGCAGAUUGCACUAUCUCUUGUGUUUAAACACAUCAGCUGUUUUAAAGAAAAUUUAAAUUUUUGCUUUUUCACUUUUUGAUUCUUCCUGUAUUUUAAUAAGGGGCAGGUCCUGCAUGAUGCAUGUUAUAAUUUUGAACCUUUAUUCACAUUGUCAUGAUUGACCUAGUGUGCAAAACAUUUUCAAAUUUCUCCUUCACCUGUUUUUAAAAAAAACUGUAAAGGUAACUACUGGAAUUAAUGGCCAUUUUCCAAAUCCUUAUCAUUUAUUAUGAAUACUUUGGCCAGUUGCUUUGGGUUGUAAUUUCAGUUUGAAGUUUUGUAUUCAUCCACCUUUUUAGAAAAUCAGGAUAGGGAACUGAAGAACUGUUACCUAACUGGCUACACAUAAAUGUGAAUGUUCUGAUCACCACUUCAGUUAUUCCUUUCUUCCCUAUCCAUUUUCCUUCAUUCUCUAUAUCUGCCCAUUCAUCUAUCCUGAAUUAUCAUACUCAGGUUAUUUGAUUAUGCGUAGUCCAAGUUCAGCCCAAAGGGAUUACCAGAUCUUUGUGAUGCUGCAUCAUGGGUUCUGUUUCCCUUCAUAUCUGUUUCCUACAGUAGUAUUUAAAGGAGAUCAUCAUCUGGGAGUAUAGAAUAAUUAUGAGCCUACCUGCAUUACCUGAAACCUUUAAAAUUCUGUAGGGUACUUUUCCUGAUAUGGUGACCUGUGCAGUUCUUGUACUGUAAGCCAUCUUUAGAACAGGGAUCCAAAUAUAUUUAGCCAACUCUAGGUUUCUUUGAAUGCCUUGCUGUUUUCUGGAAUCCUGGUUUGUGUCACUUUGCUAUUUUGUAUGAGUGAAGAAUAUACACUGGAAGGCUCAUGAUUUAUCCGUAACACUCUCAAUGAAGUCUUUUAAAAGAAGACAUUUUGUUCAUGGAUAUUGAAAAUUUUACUUAAAUAUUUACAGUGCUAUUAAUGAGCCAGAGAUUUGGUAACUAGAACGUUCACUUUUCCAGUGCUGGAAGCUCGAGGAUGGGUUAAAUCUUCAACCUCAUCAGAAACACUUAGUGCAGGAAAGUAAGUGGCAAAAUAAUGUAGAUGCUGGAAAUCUGAAACAAAUACCAAGAAAGCUGGAGAAAUGCAACAGGCCUGGCAGCAUCUGUGGACAGAAAAACACGAGUUGAUGUUUUGAGUCCAAUAUGUCACUCAGUGUUAAUUCUUUUCACAGAAGCUGCCAGACAUGCUGGGUUUCUUCAGCAUUCCUUGUGUUUAUUUGCCAAGGACAAGUGGGUGUAGCCACAAAGUUUUUGAUCCUGCUGUUUUAGGAAAUUGAGGUGGACCCCAUUUUCUCUACUAAUCCAUGGCAUAACAUGGACCAUUCAUUCUGAGCUGUCGUUUCCAAUACUUUGGCUUAGUUUUCUUGAAUCCUGUUUUUAUCUUCGAUUUGGAUUCCUUUAGGACAUAAAGAAUUUAUUUUUAAAGCUGGAAGAUGGCAUCUGAUUGAAAAGUCUAUUUUAAUAUUAGCUUGCUGCCUUCGUUGGAAUGUGAGGGGUUGUGUUUAUUGUUGAUAGAUGAAACCUCAACUGUGUAUUUUUCAGCAGGAGCUCCCCCAUAGCUUAAUUUUAUAUGACUACAGAAUGGAUCUGUAAUGAGAGGGGCAUUAUUUUGUUUUGACUUCUGGCUCUGCAAAGUAUCACACUAUUGUUUACGUUUGAUUUUUCACUCAUCAUAAAGCCAAUACCUUGACUGUAGUCCACCAAUCGGAAACCUAUGGUUCCAGAAUUAAAUAGAGAUGCUCUGAUUUUUGAGUAAUGUUGAGGAUGAAUACGAAGGGUGGGCUCCAGAUUCCAUGAAGCCACAACUUCCCUGGAGUGCAGGCAGUUAUUUUGUAGAAUUUGUGUUGGUUAUCCAGUUUGUGAGUUUUACCAGUAAAAUAAAACCAAUAGAAUGAAUUCUACCUUGCAUUCUCUUGCUGUCCAUUGAUUGUAAGUAAGGACAGGUUACAGAUGAAUUGCAGAUUUCUGCUGGUGCAAAUCUUAAUAUGAUGCAGAAAUUGGUGGGACGUCCAAAGAGAUCUUCCUGCACUUGGUUGUGGCAAACGGUCACAUCAGCAGGCAGCCUGUAUCCGAACCAUUUUUCAGAGUUGACUUUUAUUAAAUGUCCUACUGAUUGUGUAUUCCUAACCAUCGGUUUUAAUAAAUGACAUGGUGCACAACCUGAGUUUAAAAACGGGGGGGGGGGUGUGGAAAUAAGACCACAUAGUUACCAUAGCCUAAAGGAGUACAAGAUCUACAGGCUGUCUGUCACUUUGCCAGACUAACACAGACUCUCCCUAUGUAUAAGAUGUACAUGUUCUGAAUUUAUUUUUUGAUUUUAUUUUCUGUGCUGAAUUCUGGUAUCCUAAAAAUCAGACUUCCUUUUAUUAAAGGACAUUUUUGAUGUAUUCUUGAUUAUAAAUGUAGCUUUACUGACUAAAUAUUUUUUAUGUAUGAAAAGAAUUACAGUAUUUCAGAUGGAUUUAACUGACUUCAAUAUAAUCAAUUUAGUGUAACAUUCAUUGUCUAGCACUGCCAAGGAGGCAGCACUAUGGCUCAGUGGUUAGCACUUCUGCCUCACAUUGCCAGGGACUGGAUUCAAUUCCACCCUUUGGUAACUGUGUGGAGUUUGCAUGUUCCUCCUCAUAUCUGCAUGGGUGUUCUAGUUUCCUCCUAAUGACCAAAGAUGUGUGGGUUAGGUAGACUGGCUAUGCUAAACUGUCCAUAGUUUCCAGGAUUAUUGUAUUUGCCAUGGGAUGCAUGUCGGAGGGCUGGUAUGGGCCAAAUGGUCUGCUCCCACACUGCAGGGAUUGUGUGAUUUUUAUAAAAGAAUCCCUUCUGUGGUAUUCAGUGCCACAUGCUUUUAGAAAUCUGUGGCUCAUGAGUCUAUGUAAAAUGAAACUAAUUGUAUUAUGGGAUAGUAAUUAAAGUAGCCCCCUACUGUCCCUUCAAGAGCUCACCCUGUCUUGGCAUGCCCUUAUAUAAAAUAACCCUGGAUUCUGGAACAUUGUUUCAAACUGAUUUGAUUUGAGGCAUGAUGCUAAGCUUAGACGCUUCCUAAGCAUCAAUCUAUUAUCUGGAGCAAUUCACUGCACUUAACCCUAGACCUUGACCACAGCAGCUGAGUCAGUAAAAUAUCAGCAACAAAUCAAUGAAAUCAGAAGGCUUGUGACCAUCAAAGCUCUGGAAACAAUGUCAAAUAAGUAGAAAUAGGGUUGAUUUAAAUUCUGACAGUUCUUAAUUCUGACAGUUCUUCAGUCCCAUGCAUUGCUUUUGAGAAUAUGGGUGAACUUGCUAUUUUUUUUUUCUAUCUAGAAGGACUAUUUCACCAAUGUGAGAAAAAUGUCUUUUGUAGUUAUGAAUAGUUCCAGCUUAUGAUGUGAACUCAAGCUAAAAUUCUUUUUACUUCAGCACUGCAAUUUCAAUGAGCCUAGGAGUUCUGAGGCAAUAUUUGUAUAUAGCUUUGUUUUGAUGGGAACAAUUGUUGAACAUGGAUAGGAGAUAUUUUUUCAUGGUUGCUUAUGUAACAGUACCCAAGAUUUUAUUGCUUGCAAAAACAUGCACUGUACAAAUAAAGAAGUUACUUUUUAUAUUUUUUGACUGAAAUAAAGAUUUCCACUCAGG
Long non-coding RNA from Rhincodon typus (whale shark), 4631 nucleotides. RefSeq lists it as uncharacterized. NCBI's taxonomy places the organism in Eukaryota, Metazoa, Chordata, Chondrichthyes, Orectolobiformes, Rhincodontidae. The transcript is spliced from 2 exons. The record is from RefSeq and is a predicted model, not a curated record.